Molecule: ribosomal RNA, 295 nt
Filed under: Halomonas sp.
Lineage: Bacteria; Pseudomonadati; Pseudomonadota; Gammaproteobacteria; Oceanospirillales; Halomonadaceae
Description: partial 16S ribosomal RNA
Rfam family: Bacterial small subunit ribosomal RNA
Source: RNAcentral
UAAACUGAAGAGUUUGAUCAUGGCUCAGAUUGAACGCUGGCGGCAGGCCUAACACAUGCAAGUCGAGCGGUAACAGAUCUAGCUUGCUAGAUGCUGACGAGCGGCGGACGGGUGAGUAAUGCAUAGGAAUCUGCCCGAUAGUGGGGGAUAACCUGGGGAAACCCAGGCUAAUACCGCAUACGUCCUACGGGAGAAAGGGGGCUUUUGCUCCCGCUAUUGGAUGAGCCUAUGUCGGAUUAGCUAGUUGGUGAGGUAAAGGCUCACCAAGGCUGCGAUCCGUAGCUGGUCUGAGAGG